RNAcentral lists this ribosomal RNA (239 nucleotides) under uncultured Streptococcaceae bacterium. RNAcentral describes it as "partial 16S ribosomal RNA". It matches the Rfam family "Bacterial small subunit ribosomal RNA", at positions 534 to 773 of the family's 1533-position model. Lineage: Bacteria; Bacillati; Bacillota; Bacilli; Lactobacillales; Streptococcaceae. The record is from RNAcentral.
CCGAGCGUUGUCCGGAUUUAUUGGGCGUAAAGCGAGCGCAGGCGGUUAGAUAAGUCUGAAGUUAAAGACUGUGGCUUAACCAUAGUACGCUUUGGAAACUGUUUAACUUGAGUGCAAGAGGGGAGAGUGGAAUUCCAUGUGUAGCGGUGAAAUGCGUAGAUAUAUGGAGGAACACCGGUGGCGAAAGCGGCUCUCUGGCUUGUAACUGACGCUGAGGCUCGAAAGCGUGGGGAGCAAAC